UACGGAGGAUGCGAGCGUUAUCCGGAUUUAUUGGGUUUAAAGGGUGCGUAGGCGGAUCGUUAAGUCAGUGGUCAAAUUGAGGGGCUCAACCCCUUCCCGCCAUUGAAACUGGCGUUCUUGAGUGGAAGAGAAGUAUGCGGAAUGCGUGGUGUAGCGGUGAAAUGCGUAGAUAUUAGGAGGAACACCAGUGGCGAAGGCGGCUUACUGGACUGUAACUGACGUUGAGGCUCGAAAGCGUGGGGAGCAAACAGG
This 252-nucleotide ribosomal RNA is filed under the name uncultured Bacteroidales bacterium. RNAcentral's name for it is "partial 16S ribosomal RNA". It matches the Rfam family "Bacterial small subunit ribosomal RNA", at positions 524 to 776 of the family's 1533-position model. The record is from RNAcentral. Lineage: Bacteria; Pseudomonadati; Bacteroidota; Bacteroidia; Bacteroidales.